This 253-nucleotide ribosomal RNA is filed under the name uncultured bacterium. RNAcentral describes it as "partial 16S ribosomal RNA". It matches the Rfam family "Bacterial small subunit ribosomal RNA", at positions 524 to 776 of the family's 1533-position model. The record is from RNAcentral.
UACGGGGGGGGCAAGCGUUGUUCGGAAUUACUGGGCGUAAAGGGCUCGUAGGCGGCCAACUAAGUCAGACGUGAAAUCCCUCGGCUUAACCGGGAAACUGCGUCUGAUACUGGAUGGCUUGAGUUUGGGAGAGGGAUGCGGAAUUCCAGGUGUAGCGGUGAAAUGCGUAGAUAUCUGGAGGAACACCGGUGGCGAAGGCGGCAUCCUGGACCAACACUGACGCUGAGGAGCGAAAGCCAGGGGAGCAAACGGG